RNAcentral lists this long non-coding RNA (658 nucleotides) under Sorghum bicolor (sorghum). RNAcentral's name for it is "long non-coding RNA (SBIC_LNC005347)". The record is from RNAcentral. Lineage: Eukaryota; Viridiplantae; Streptophyta; Magnoliopsida; Poales; Poaceae.
UUCCAUGGAGCUUGAGCUUUGUGUUGACCAAAUUAGAGCUUAUCUACAAUGCUAUUAGUGUAGAAUAGGUAGAGACACCACCUUGCACCAUCAAUUAGGUGAUAUAGCUUGAUUUUAAUGGAGAUUAAUUGUAAUUUCAUGUAUGGAGAGAAAAGGCAUUCUAGAUCUAGGGUUUCUUUUUUUGUUUUUGUUUCAUAAAAUUGGAAUGUGGUUGGCAUGAAUAGUUAUUGGUAAACUAAUAGUUGUUGCUAAUAUUAAUUGUUUCUAAUAAUGGUAGAUAAUAAUUGGUAAUAUUAAUUAUGUCUAAUAAUCGUUUCUAACACAAUUAUUACUAAUAAUGAUAGCUAAUAAUUGUUGAUAAUAAUGGUAGAUAAUAACUUUUACUUAUUAAUUGUUGCUAAUAAUGGUAGAUAAUAAUUGGUACUAUUAAUUAUGACUAAUAAUCGUUUCUAACACAAUUAUUGCUAAUAAUGAUAGCUAAUUGUUGCUAAUAAUGGUAGAUAAUAAUUGUUACUUAUUAAAUUGUUGCUAAUAAUUAUUCUCAACUAAUUAUUUUUUAUUUAUAUAAAGAUGGAGAAUAGGGCUACUUGGAUGUAUGGUUUGCCAAGAUACUCGCAAGCCUAUGCUGAUGAGGUGGACAAAUUUAUUACAGUCGCGG